GGGAUUUGGAAGAAUUUUUCUCAGACUAAGGAUUGUCAAUCCAAUUCGCAUAAGAAUGUUCACUCUGCGUCUGCUAGGUGGCGCUGCAGGCUAAUGCAUGGGUCCCUUAGCGCCUCGCCGGAGUCUGUGAGGCUAACCCUGAGAGAAGGAAGCUGCUGCCACUGUUUCGGUCCAGGAAGGAUAUCAGCACUGUGAGAGGGAGGAGACAUACUCUUGCCAAGACUUGACUUCUGUCAACUUAAGAAUCGCUCCUCUUCUUCCGGAUGGAUCGUAGCUGGCAUUGAAGGGGCUUCUGGAUCACGUGCUUUGUAAUUCUUUAGGGAAAUUCUGGGGGGUCCAAGCUUGGUGAGAAAAGCUGUGGUUUUCUUUGUCCGAAUUUCCAAAAGGUGUUCAGUAACUUUGGAAGAAAGAUUCAAGAAUGAAAGGAAGUCAUCAUAAUUCAAAGGUUUGGGGAGGGAGAACCUCGUUGUGCCCUGCUUAAGUGAUUCUGAACUGUGUAAAACAGUGGCUUUCAGACUAUAAUUUGCCCUGAUUGGUUGUAUUUUAUAAAGAGCAUUCUGCACCAUUUUGAGAGCACUUGUCUCUGCCUCUCCUUGUGCACAUAGGUACCACAACUUGUCCACUACUGCCUACAAAAGACAGACUGAUAAACUUAGGUUUUAAAGUAAGAAGAGAGACCACUUACAAACUUAACGUAGUGGAUUGGCACAUGGGUACACUCAAACCACCUCAGAAAACUUGGUCCCAAGAGCUUAUCAGACACAGCAGACAAUGGAAGCAUGCAACACCUUCCCCUGGAUCCCACAAAUGGACACCUGACUCUGGUCUCCUACUUCUCACUCAACCCUGUAGCCCAGGCUCAGCCCUACAGCAGUCGUGUAAGCUCUGCACAGGGUUCUUUAACAUUUCUUCUAACAACCAGCAGUGACUCUCUUUGUAUCUGUCUCCAGUAGGGUUUCUUUGAACUGCAGAACCCUGACUUGGCCUUUUGGACUCCUUUGUUGCCAUUCUGUUCUCUGCAUAUAUACGGAUAGAUACAAUUGCUAACACUGUGUAAGGUGUGAUCAAGAGUUAAUAUUAGUGAUUAAGACUGGAAUAAAGUCAUUCAUGUUUGCCCAUGGGCAGCCACCAAAGGACAUCAGGACUAUUUGGCAAACUGCACCCAACUACAACAGCACGACCUAUGAAUUUAUGGUCACUCAAUAAACUGUGACACUGCAAAAAGACAUG
RNAcentral lists this long non-coding RNA (1230 nucleotides) under Rattus norvegicus (Norway rat). Its description in RNAcentral is "long non-coding RNA NONRATT015071". The record is from RNAcentral. Lineage: Eukaryota; Metazoa; Chordata; Mammalia; Rodentia; Muridae.